CUUAACGGUUAGUACCGAGUUCCUAAAUUCGAAGCCUAGUUGCUUCACAUUUCCAGUUAAGUUUAUUUCUAAAAAGAAAUAAAUGAAGCGGGUAACAUGCUAUAUACUUUUCUCUCAAAAAAAUAAAAAUUAUUUUCCAAUCUAAUCAUUAAAAAUUUUGAUAUUCCUAUCUAACUUUUUAAUUUAUUUGAUUUAAGCC
This 199-nucleotide long non-coding RNA is filed under the name Ananas comosus (pineapple). RNAcentral's name for it is "long non-coding RNA (ACOM_LNC022123)". The record is from RNAcentral. Lineage: Eukaryota; Viridiplantae; Streptophyta; Magnoliopsida; Poales; Bromeliaceae.